CUUAGCUGUUAGGUUUGCCUACACUAAUCCUGAGGUUUAAUUAUCUGUGUUGCUUUAAAAGUUGUGAAAAGAUCAAAAGCUGUUUUGACAAAGAGUGAAGCUGAGGUGCAGCAGCCCUGUGUACAGUGUCAUGACAGUAUCCCCACACCUGGCUGCAUAGAUCUUUCUGUGGAAAGAACUAGUCAUAAUCUUCUGUUUACGUACAAGGAGGAGAGGCAGCCCAGAAGCGAAGCGCCUGUAUGCCAAAGAGCACUGAACCAAGUAAAACCAUUCUGCGCAGUAAACCAGUGCAGCAGAUUAGAAUGGAAACAAUGGAAUAGUUACCCCAAGUGUAGGAGAACAUCUGUGAAGUGCGGAGGCUGCAUGUGUUCUGCUACAUAUCCUUGCUUUGUGUGGUUGGAAAAGACAACAAGACAAUGCAACAUUUCUGGAGUUCAGAGAUCCCCAUUGGCAGGGAUCCCUUUUAUAAACAUUCUGUUUCUGCCAGCAGAUAAAGAAUUUUCUAAGUCUGGAAAACACUGUCUCUUCUAUAACUUAGUGCCCAUUUCAUUAUAUGAAACACAAUUUGUAUGGUUAAGGCAAUUCCUGGUUUUAAAAUAAAAAAGGUAGGAAAACUAAUUGCUCCAGGUGAGUUAAAAACUCAUCCUCAUGUAUCUGCUGUUACUGUAAUGCAGAUCAUAGUAGUAGCCAUUUAAUUAAGUCCUGUACUGUGUCUCAUGCAGUGGGAUGGGAGGACCACUUACCUUUCCUCUUUGCGAAAUUUCUAUAGCUUAGUGCUAGCACUUUGUGAAUGAAUAGCUUGCAUGCAGAACAUACUGGAGUCACUGCUUUACAGAGAAGCAAAAACUCACUUAGCAAUUGACUGGCAGUAGCUGGUGCAAUGGUCUGCACACUUCCUGCCAGAACGCAUUGUAUUCUUGAAACGUGAGAGCUGCUGCCUUCAUGGGGAGAGCUUCUCCUCAGUAAGUUGCCAUCACAUUUGACUACAGCUUAUAGUCUGGGCUGACUGCCCUUUUUCUUUCCCUUCUAUACACCCAGUUGAAGCACUGGUUCAAGUGCCUAUGGCUUUUUC
This is a long non-coding RNA of Neopsephotus bourkii (Bourke's parrot), 1072 nucleotides long. RefSeq lists it as uncharacterized. The record is from RefSeq and is a predicted model, not a curated record. NCBI's taxonomy places the organism in Eukaryota, Metazoa, Chordata, Aves, Psittaciformes, Psittacidae. The transcript is spliced from 3 exons.